This 72-nucleotide transfer RNA is filed under the name Camelus bactrianus (Bactrian camel). It matches the Rfam family "tRNA". From Rfam's summary of the family: Transfer RNA (tRNA) molecules are approximately 80 nucleotides in length. Their secondary structure includes four short double-helical elements and three loops (D, anti-codon, and T loops). Lineage: Eukaryota; Metazoa; Chordata; Mammalia; Artiodactyla; Camelidae. The record is from Rfam by way of RNAcentral. RNAcentral also lists the same sequence under 1 other name.
GAGGGUACAGCUCAGUGGUAGAGUGCGUGCUUAGCAUGCAUGAGGUCCUGGGUUCAAUCCUCAGUACCUCCA